Molecule: non-coding RNA, 87 nt
Organism: Acanthosepion pharaonis
Lineage: Eukaryota; Metazoa; Mollusca; Cephalopoda; Sepiida; Sepiidae
Source: the annotation of a GenBank genome assembly
GGUUCCCGUACGAACGCCGAAGUUAAGCAACGUCGAGCCUGGUCAGUACCUAGAUGGGUGACAGCUUAGGAAUAUUGGUGCUGUAAG